This 108-nucleotide ribozyme is filed under the name Aedes aegypti (yellow fever mosquito). Its description in RNAcentral is "drz-agam-1 ribozyme". It matches the Rfam family "drz-agam-1 ribozyme". The record is from Rfam by way of RNAcentral. Lineage: Eukaryota; Metazoa; Arthropoda; Insecta; Diptera; Culicidae.
UGUCCAGCAACUCCUAUCCCUACCUCCCCGUGGUACUGGCCCUUAACCUUAGGGAAGAUCGGAUAACCAACCCCAGUGGGAACUCUGGUCGUAUGCUAACAGGGAAGU